GGGAGAGUGAGAGUGACCGUAUCGCCAGGAGAGACGGAGAGCCCGAGCCAGGAGGAGAGCUCAGAGGGCUGGAGAUAGUGAUGACAACGAGCCCAGUGGAGAGGAGGGGUUGGGAGGCAGUGGGCAGGAUCCACAGACAGACAGGCACUCCAGCACCAGGUCCGCCGUGUCAUGUAACGACUGUAUCGACAGAGGAGGCGGCUCUGAAACUAAGGAUUACAAGAAGCUGUUUGAGGUGGUGUCCAGGGGAGAAUGGUCAGC
This is a long non-coding RNA of Oncorhynchus nerka (sockeye salmon), 261 nucleotides long. RefSeq lists it as uncharacterized. The record is from RefSeq and is a predicted model, not a curated record. The transcript has 4 exons. Lineage: Eukaryota; Metazoa; Chordata; Actinopteri; Salmoniformes; Salmonidae.